GUUAUAUGGUCAAGUGAAGAAGCGCAUACGGUGGAUGCCUUGGCAGUCAGAGGCGAUGAAAGACGUGGUAGCCUGCGAAAAGCUUCGGGGAGUCGGCAAACAGACUUUGAUCCGGAGAUCUCUGAAUGGGGGAACCCACCUAGGAUAACCUAGGUAUCUUGUACUGAAUCCAUAGGUGCAAGAGGCGAACCAGGGGAACUGAAACAUCUAAGUACCCUGAGGAAAAGAAAUCAACCGAGAUUCCCUUAGUAGUGGCGAGCGAACGGGGAUUAGCCCUUAAGCUUCAUUGAUUUUAGCGGAACGCUCUGGAAAGUGCGGCCAUAGUGGGUGAUAGCCCCGUACGCGAAAGGAUCUUUGAAGUGAAAUCGAGUAGGACGGAGCACGAGAAACUUUGUCUGAACAUGGGGGGACCAUCCUCCAAGGCUAAAUACUACUGACUGACCGAUAGUGAACCAGUACCGUGAGGGAAAGGCGAAAAGAACCCCGGAGAGGGGAGUGAAAUAGAACCUGAAACCGUAUGCGUACAAGCAGUGGGAGCCUACUUGUUAGGUGACUGCGUACCUUUUGUAUAAUGGGUCAGCGACUUAUAUUCAGUGGCAAGCUUAACCGUAUAGGGUAGGCGUAGCGAAAGCGAGUCUUAAUAGGGCGUUUAGUCGCUGAGACCCGAAA
RNAcentral lists this ribosomal RNA (669 nucleotides) under Pseudomonas aeruginosa. Its description in RNAcentral is "bacterial LSU rRNA". It matches the Rfam family "Bacterial large subunit ribosomal RNA", at positions 1 to 720 of the family's 2925-position model. Lineage: Bacteria; Pseudomonadati; Pseudomonadota; Gammaproteobacteria; Pseudomonadales; Pseudomonadaceae. The record is from RNAcentral.